This 467-nucleotide ribosomal RNA is filed under the name uncultured Nitrosomonas sp. RNAcentral describes it as "bacterial SSU rRNA". It matches the Rfam family "Bacterial small subunit ribosomal RNA", at positions 196 to 644 of the family's 1533-position model. The record is from RNAcentral. Lineage: Bacteria; Pseudomonadati; Pseudomonadota; Betaproteobacteria; Nitrosomonadales; Nitrosomonadaceae.
GAGGAGAAAAGCAGGGGAUCGCAAGACCUUGCGCUAAAGGAGCGGCCGAUGUCUGAUUAGCUAGUUGGUGGGGUAAAGGCUUACCAAGGCAACGAUCAGUAGUUGGUCUGAGAGGACGGCCAACCACACUGGGACUGAGACACGGCCCAGACUCCUACGGGAGGCAGCAGUGGGGAAUUUUGGACAAUGGGCGAAAGCCUGAUCCAGCCAUGCCGCGUGAGUGAAGAAGGCCUUCGGGUUGUAAAGCUCUUUUAGUCGGAAAGAAAGAGUUGCAAUGAAUAAUUGUGAUUUAUGACGGUACCGACAGAAAAAGCACCGGCUAACUACGUGCCAGCAGCCGCGGUAAUACGUAGGGUGCGAGCGUUAAUCGGAAUUACUGGGCGUAAAGGGUGCGCAGGCGGUCUUGCAAGUCAGAUGUGAAAGCCCCGGGCUUAACCUGGGAAUUGCGUUUGAAACUACAAAGCUAG